UACAUGCAAAUUGAAUCGCUGUUCACCUGUAAAUGGCAGUAAAGUCAGAGACGGCCGCCUUUACAACGGAAUGGAAGCGUCUCAACUAGAAGGAGUGCAAGGGGACGAGCGAAUGGACUCGGCGCAUAUGCGAUUGGAAGAAAACGGCUGCUGUCCAGCCCGGCUAUUUACGGUCACUAGUCUAUAAUGUGUCUGCCCGAACGAGCUCUCACUCUUUAAAGAAGGCUGCUGUUAUUUGUUGGCGUCUCCCCAGAGAUGGGGCAGGUUAGGUCCUCCAUGAUGUGGGCACCGAGGUAUUUGAAACAACCUACCCUCUCCACCUGAGUGUACUUAACACUGGUAGUGCCUUUGCUGUUUACUCCCAAAGUCUCCAAUCAACUCCUUUGUCUUGCUGACACUCCGGAGAAGACUGUUGUCCUGACAUCAUUGUGACUGACUCUCCAUUCAGGUUUUUUGGCCUGGCCCAGGUCCUCCAGUACUGCCAGGGCAAAUCCCCCAGAGAUGCCAACGGACCACAGCAUCUGCAGCCCACUCACUGGCACAGGCCCAGCCUGUCAUUGACAUUUAAUCAAACCUGCGUGCCUUUGGGGACGUGAGAGGAAAACCAGCGAACAUGGAAGAAACCUCCUGCAGAUCUGGCGAGAAUGUGCAGACCCCACAGGAUUCAAACCCUGGGUGCUCGAUCUGUAAGACAGCAGCGCUGCCCACAGUGCAACUGGCAGAGACGGAACGCAAGAAUAAUGGAGAUACCUCAGCUUCUGUCGCAUUGGAAAGGCAAAAUGAACGAGUGGCUCCAGACCCUGAACUGUGUGGAUUUGUCCUGUGGGUCGUCUUCUAUUUUGCUAGAAUAAAUUCCAGCUUCCCAAAACAACAAGGAAGGGGGCUGGUAGUUCACGUCAAUGCCUGUCCUUUACCCCGAGAAACGGGAGCCUUUAUAACUCCGAGGAAAACGCUACAUUAAUAUUUGAGGCCCAGCCUGGCCUUACCAUUCACACUGCCAGGGGACAAGCGAGAAGAGCCAGGAGGCGGAUGGGAGAUGGAAAGUCACUCACUGAAGGGGUGGAAAGAACCGUGUUUAGUUUCAUUAUUUUUUAUUCUUUAUUGCACUGGCAGUGUCCUUUCGUACUCUGUAGGUGUGAUUAUUGUGGAACAGAAAUCUAGAAAAUAGGAUGGCGUUUGUGCUGAGAUCUGACAUUGGUUUGCUCGUAUUACCGGCAGUAUGUGUGCACCUCCAGUAUAUCCCUUUUGUUCUCUUCACCUUUUUUACUUUCUCGUAAACAAAGUCUAAGGAGAGUAUCGUAAUCGUUCAAAACUUCGACCUCGAGAUUUGGAUGAAUCUCGACGUUUUAGACCUCCCCGAGUCCAAUUUAUGUUCUCGUAGGGAAAAUAUUGUAACUGUCUAAAAAUUCAAUUUCGAGAUUUUGAUGAAUCUCGACGUUUUAGACCUCUGAGUCCUGUCUGUGUGUAUAAAAAUGAUAAUCUGAGUGCGCUUUCACUUAAGUAUUAGGUAAACAACGCGGAUUUCUAUCGACUUUUGAGCAAUUUCCGUUAACCGGUGUGGUACUUUACCUUGUAUUCAUGCAGCUGCAGAGUCCGAUUUAUUCAACUUUACUUUUAUAAUAAUUGUUCAGUCAGUCGG
Polypterus senegalus (gray bichir) is the source of this 1639-nucleotide long non-coding RNA. RefSeq lists it as uncharacterized. The record is from RefSeq and is a predicted model, not a curated record. Lineage: Eukaryota; Metazoa; Chordata; Cladistia; Polypteriformes; Polypteridae. The transcript is spliced from 4 exons.